AAGUCGUAACAAGGUUUCCGUAAGUGAACCUGCGGAAGGAUCAUUCAUAAUAAGUGUUUUAUGGCACUUUUUAAAUCCAUAUCCACCUUGUGUGCAAUGUCAGUCGAUUUUCUUUAUGGAGAUCGGCCAAACAUCAACCUAAUUUUUUAACUCUUUGUCUGAAAAAUAUUAUGAAUAAAAUAAUUCAAAAUACAACUUUCAACAACGGAUCUCUUGGCUCUCGCAUCGAUGAAGAACGCAGCGAAAUGCGAUACGUAAUGUGAAUUGCAGAAUUCAGUGAAUCAUCGAAUCUUUGAACGCAUAUUGCGCUCUUUGGUAUUCCGAAAAACAUGCUUGUUUGAGUAUCAGUAAACACCUCAAAACUUUUUUUUAUUUUUAAGAAAAAGUUUUGGACUUGAGCAAUCCCAACACCAAUCUUUUUUAGAUCGGCGGCGGGUUGCUUGAAAUGCAGGUGCAGCUGGACAUUCUCCUGAGCUAAAAGCAUAUUUAUUUAGUCCCGUCAAACGGAUUAUUACUUUUGCUGCAGCUAUAUAAAGGGAGUUUGACCGUAUUGGCUGACUGAUGCAGGAUUUCACAAGGGUCGGCAACGAUUCUUGUAAAACUCGAUCUCAAAUCAAGUAAGACUACCCGCUGAACUUAA
RNAcentral lists this ribosomal RNA (640 nucleotides) under uncultured fungus. RNAcentral describes it as "eukaryotic LSU rRNA". The stretch from base 194 to 347 matches the Rfam family "5.8S ribosomal RNA". The record is from RNAcentral. Lineage: Eukaryota; Fungi.